GGAUGGCAUCAUUGAGCUGGUUCACUGCAGAACUCAAGACCAGCUAGCUGACAUUAUGACAAAGCCAUUGAAGCUUGAUACAUUCUGUGAUCUUAGAAGCAAAAUGGGAAUGGCAGAUUUUGUAUGCUUAACCUGAUGUGUAGUAGUUUGUGUAUAAACUGAUUUUUAGUAUUUGUGUUUGUAGAAAUCAGUUUAAGGGAGGGUAUGUUGAUAGUUGUAUAUGUGUGUUUGGGCUUAGCUUGCAUUGGGCCUAGUUU
This 257-nucleotide long non-coding RNA is filed under the name Trifolium pratense (red clover). RNAcentral's name for it is "long non-coding RNA (TPRA_LNC014074)". Lineage: Eukaryota; Viridiplantae; Streptophyta; Magnoliopsida; Fabales; Fabaceae. The record is from RNAcentral.